RNAcentral lists this long non-coding RNA (402 nucleotides) under Rosa chinensis. RNAcentral describes it as "sRNA RchiOBHm_Chr6g0265161". The record is from RNAcentral. Lineage: Eukaryota; Viridiplantae; Streptophyta; Magnoliopsida; Rosales; Rosaceae.
UGAAGUUGAGCUUAUGAAGUAAGAUUAAUUUCACUAGAAAAAGAUAGCAAAUCAGUUUUUCAUUUAUGUCUUAUUUUAGUUUAUGCAACAACCGCUAAAUCUUAUAAACUAGAUAAUAAUAACUUUGACUGACAUUUAGGUGAGGUUCUUGCUGAGAUCUGGAAGGAAAUAUGAGCAAGCUUUCAAAGCUAGUUGCAUUUGUGGAAGUCGCUCAGUUUGAUUUAUUGGCAUAACACCAAAAGCCAGAUUCUCCUUAAGUCUCUCUCUCAAAACUGACUAGCCUAGAAUUAAGGCCACAUACUAUUGAGAGUUGUUAUCUGUCAAAAUAUGAGGUUUGGGAAUAUCUAGUGAAAUGUUGCCUAAAGAGUCACUAAAUGAUCAAGCAUGGAAUACCAAGCAAUG